Molecule: ribosomal RNA, 1666 nt
Filed under: uncultured bacterium
Lineage: Bacteria
Description: bacterial SSU rRNA
Rfam family: Bacterial small subunit ribosomal RNA
Source: RNAcentral
GAUGAACGCUAGCGAUAGGCCUAACACAUGCAAGUCGAGGGGCAGCAUAGAGUAGCAAUACUUUGAUGGCGACCGGCGCACGGGUGAGUAACACGUAUGCAACCUACCUACAUCAGGGGAAUAACCCGGAGAAAUUCGGACUAAUACCGCAUAAUACAGGGAUGCCGCAUGGCAAUAUUUGUUAAAGAUUUAUCGGAUGUAGAUGGGCAUGCGUUCCAUUAGCUAGUUGGUAAGGUAACGGCUUACCAAGGCAACGAUGGAUAGGGGAACUGAGAGGUUUGUCCCCCACACUGGAACUGAGACACGGACCAGACUCCUACGGGAGGCAGCAGUGAGGAAUAUUGGUCAAUGGACGAGAGUCUGAACCAGCCAAAUCGCGUGAAGGAAGACUGCCCUACGGGUUGUAAACUUCUUUUGUACAGGAAUAAAAGACAUUACGUGUAAUGUAUUGCAUGUACUGUACGAAUAAGCAUCGGCUAACUCCGUGCCAGCAGCCGCGGUAAUACGGAGGAUGCGAGCGUUAUCCGGAUUUAUUGGGUUUAAAGGGUGCGCAGGCGGGAUUUUAAGUCAGCGGUGAAAUUUUCAGGCUCAACCUGAACACUGCCGUUGAAACUGGGAUUCUUGAGUAUGGAUGAAGUAGGCGGAAUUCGUUGUGUAGCGGUGACAUGCUUAGAUAUAACGAGGAACUCCGAUUGCGUAGGCAGCUUACUAAGCCAUAACUGACGCUCAAGCACGAAAGCGUGGGGAUCAAACAGGAUUAGAUACCCCUGGUAGUCCACGCCGUAAACGAUGANUACUANUUGGUUGCGAUAUACCGUAAGUGACUAAAAGGAUUUUUGAGUAUGNAUAAAGUAGGCGGAAUUCGUUGGGNANCGGUNACAUGCUUAGAUAAAACGAGGAACCCCGAUUGCGUAGGCAGCUUAUUAAGCCAUAACUGACGNUCAAGCACGAAAGCGUGGGGAUCAAANCAGGAUUAGAUACCNUGGUAGUCCCCCGCCGUAAACGAUGAUUACUAGUUGUUUGCGAUAUACCGUAAGUGANUAAGCGAAAGCGAUAAGUAAUCCACCUGGGGAGUACGCCGGCAACGGUGAAACUCAAAGGAAUUGACGGGGGCCCGCACAAGCGGAGGAACAUGUGGUUUAAUUCGAUGAUACGCGAGGAACCUUACCCGGGCUUGAAAUGUACCUGACCGUCCUUGAAAAGGGACUUCUAGCAAUAGCAGGUAUGUAGGUGCUGCAUGGUUGUCGUCAGCUCGUGCCGUGAGGUGUCGGCUUAAGUGCCAUAACGAGCGCAACCCACAUUAUUAGUUACUAACAGGUUAAGCUGAGGACUCUAAUAAGACUGCCGUCGUAAGAUGCGAGGAAGGUGUGGAUGACGUCAAAUCAGCACGGCCCUUACGUCCGGGGCGACACACGUGUUACAAUGGGAGGUACAAAGGGCUACUACCUGGUGACAGGAUGCUAAUCCCCAAAGCCUCUCCCAGUUCGGAUCGGAGUCUGCAACUCGACUCCGUGAAGCUGGAUUCGCUAGUAAUCGCGCAUCAGCCAUGGCGCGGUGAAUACGUUCCCGGGCCUUGUACACACCGCCCGUCAAGCCAUGGGAGCCGGGGGUAUCUGAAGUGCGUAACCGCAAGGAGCGUCCUAGGGUAAAACUGGUGACUGGGGCU